AUUGAACGCUGGCGGCAUGCCUUACACAUGCAAGUCGAACGGUAACAGGUCUUCGGAUGCUGACGAGUGGCGAACGGGUGAGUAAUACAUCGGAACGUGCCCUGACGUGGGGGAUAACGAGGCGAAAGCUUUGCUAAUACCGCAUACGAUCUAAGGAUGAAAGCAGGGGACCGCAAGGCCUUGUGCGUUUGGAGCGGCCGAUGGCAGAUUAGGUAGUUGGUGGGAUAAAAGCUUACCAAGCCGACGAUCUGUAGCUGGUCUGAGAGGACGACCAGCCACACUGGGACUGAGACACGGCCCAGACUCCUACGGGAGGCAGCAGUGGGGAAUUUUGGACAAUGGGCGAAAGCCUGAUCCAGCAAUGCCGCGUGCAGGAUGAAGGCCUUCGGGUUGUAAACUGCUUUUGUACGGAACGAAAAGGCUCUGGCUAAUACCUGGGGCACAUGACGGUACCGUAAGAAUAAGCACCGGCUAACUACGUG
This 482-nucleotide ribosomal RNA is filed under the name uncultured bacterium. RNAcentral describes it as "partial 16S ribosomal RNA". It matches the Rfam family "Bacterial small subunit ribosomal RNA", at positions 30 to 507 of the family's 1533-position model. The record is from RNAcentral.